AGGACGAACGCUGGCGGCGCGCCUAACACAUGCAAGUCGAGCGAGAACCGGGACUUCGGUCCCGGGGACAGCGGCGAACGGGUGAGUAACACGUGGAUAACCUGCCCUCGGCACCGGAAUAGCCCGGGGAAACCCGGAUUAAUGCCGGAUAGCCCCACAUCCCUGCGGGGAACGUGGGAAAAGGUAGCUUCGGCCUCUGGCCGAGGAUGGGUCCGCGGUGGAUUAGCUUGUUGGUGCGGGUAAUGGCCCACCAAGGCGACGAUCCAUAGCUGGUCUGAGAGGACGAUCAGCCACACUGGGACUGAGACACGGUCCAGACUCCUACGGGAGGCAGCAGUGGGGAAUAUUGGACAAUGGGGGAAACCCUGAUCCAGCAACGCCGCGUGGAGGAUGAAGGUCUUCGGAUUGUAAACUCCCGUUAGGGGGACGAAGGGAUGUCGGUGAAUAGCCGGCAGACUUGACGGUACCCCCAGAGGAAGCCCCGGCUAACUCUGUGCCAGCAGCCGC
Molecule: ribosomal RNA, 507 nt
Filed under: uncultured bacterium
Lineage: Bacteria
Description: SSU rRNA
Rfam family: Bacterial small subunit ribosomal RNA
Source: RNAcentral